GUUUGAUCCUGGCUCAGAUUGAACGCUGGCGGCAUGCCUUACACAUGCAAGUCGAACGGUAGCGCGGGGCAACCUGGCGACGAGUGGCGAACGGGUGAGUAAUGCAUCGGAACGUGCCCUGGAAUGGGGGAUAACGUAGCGAAAGUUACGCUAAUACCGCAUAUUCUGUGAGCAGGAAAGCAGGGGAUCGCAAGACCUUGCGUUCUGGGAGCGGCCGAUGUCGGAUUAGCUAGUUGGUGGUGUAAAGGCCUACCAAGGCGACGAUCCGUAGCGGGUCUGAGAGGAUGAUCCGCCACACUGGGACUGAGACACGGCCCAGACUCCUACGGGAGGCAGCAGUGGGGAAUUUUGGACAAUGGGCGGAAGCCUGAUCCAGCCAUGCCGCGUGAGUGAAGAAGGCCUUCGGGUUGUAAAGCUCUUUCGGUGGGGAAGAAAUUGCACGGGCGAAUACCCUGUGUAGAUGACGGUACCCGACUAAGAAGCACCGGCUAAUACGUG
Molecule: ribosomal RNA, 498 nt
Filed under: uncultured Rhodocyclaceae bacterium
Lineage: Bacteria; Pseudomonadati; Pseudomonadota; Betaproteobacteria; Rhodocyclales; Rhodocyclaceae
Description: bacterial SSU rRNA
Rfam family: Bacterial small subunit ribosomal RNA
Source: RNAcentral